UCUCGACAAAUCGACUCUAGUGCUUGGGAUCUUUUGUGCAACAUGAUUUGCCUCGAAUACAAUGGGCACACUAGCGACAUUACUUAUCUAGGGACUAAAUAAUCUUAUAUUUGCAUGUUAUCUGUUUUGAGUGUAGUAUUCGUUUCUCCCUCUCCACGGUUAAAUGAAGCUACCUAAUUAUGAGUACGAAAACUACCAAUUUUUGAGUUCGCCUAAGCGAACUGCGAUUUUGAGUAACUUUGAUUAAGUGAAAUUUGUAGAAAAAACUCAUAUGAUGGAUCAAUGCACCAUAUCUAUGUUUGAAUGAAAUGUUUUGAAUUUUCGCUGCUCGAGAGGUUAUUGUUUACCUAAUUUUGGAUGAAAAUUUUUAACCUGCCAGUGCUGUCAAGAAAGAAACAGUUGUGAAAUCAACAGUGUUCUUUUCUACGAGUGCUUAAAAUUCGGGUUUCUAGUGAAAGAAGGUUUGGAGUUGUAUUUUGUUUGCUUUGAAAUAUUCAAAAUGAAUAAAAUAUCCUCAUCGAUUAGCGAAAGACUUCCUUCCGAAAGCAAAACCACCCGCACAGAAAGUGGUAUCGCCUGCGGGGCCACUGAACCAGAGAAUGAACUACUGGUGUGCGCCAGAGUGGCACGGGCCAGAUUUUGGUUUUCCGGAAAUUUACAGCGUUGAAGGUCCCACCAAGAAAACGAACGGACACACCUCAAGAUCGAUUGUGUGAUAAGCAACUUUCGGUUGUUGGAGGGAAUAUAAACAAUGUUAUAAACAUUA
This is a long non-coding RNA of Wyeomyia smithii (pitcher-plant mosquito), 766 nucleotides long. RefSeq lists it as uncharacterized. The record is from RefSeq and is a predicted model, not a curated record. The transcript has 2 exons. Lineage: Eukaryota; Metazoa; Arthropoda; Insecta; Diptera; Culicidae.